Molecule: ribosomal RNA, 390 nt
Filed under: uncultured bacterium
Lineage: Bacteria
Description: bacterial SSU rRNA
Rfam family: Bacterial small subunit ribosomal RNA
Source: RNAcentral
GACGAACGCUGGCGGCGUGCUUAACACAUGCACGUCGAACGAUGAUCCAGGAGCUUGCUUCUGGGGAUUAGUGGCGAACGGGUGAGUAACACGUGAGUAACCUGCCCUGGACUCUGGGAUAACUCCGAGAAAUCGGUGCUAAUACCGGAUAGGACCUGGAACCGCAUGGUUUUGGGUGGUAAAGUUUUUCGGUUUGGGAUGGACUCGCGGCCUAUCAGCUUGUUGGUGAGGAAUGGCUUACCAAGGCGUCGACGGGUAGCCGGCCUGAGAGGGUGACCGGCCACACUGGGACUGAGACACGGCCCAGACUCCUACGGGAGGCAGCAGUGGGGAAUAUUGCACAAUGGGCGCAAGCCUGAUGCAGCAACGCCGCGUGCGGGAUGACGGCCU